This 660-nucleotide long non-coding RNA is filed under the name Manihot esculenta (cassava). Its description in RNAcentral is "long non-coding RNA (MESC_LNC000102)". Lineage: Eukaryota; Viridiplantae; Streptophyta; Magnoliopsida; Malpighiales; Euphorbiaceae. The record is from RNAcentral.
GGAGCAUGUUUGAGCCGAGUUUCUGCCCUUUUGGCAGAAACCAGGUUCGGCAGCCGAAGGACUUUCGGCCGCCGAACCUACCUGUGAGGCAAGCCUUUCAGCUGCCAAAGCCUGCCCCCGAAAAUGGACUUUCGUCUCUGGAGGGCACUUUCGGCCGCCGAAGGUGCCGCCGAACCUGCCUGACUUUCGGCUCUGGAGGGACUUUCGGCCGCCGAACCUGCCGCCGAAAGUGCCCUGUUCAGCCUUCCUUUGCAUGUUUCCUAUGAUUGUUUUAUGAGGUUUUAGGGGGUUUUUGGGGAGUAUUUUAGAGUCAUGUUCAUGUAUGUUUGGUCCCUCAUUUGAGUCCACCUGUGUAGGUUCGGACCCGAGGAACCGAGGACCCCAGCAGUGAGUCAGCUGCUUCAGUUCUUUGUCAGAGUUAGCCUGAGGUGAGUAGAAUAAACCUUAUGUUUUAAAGUAAUGCAAGUUUUAGCAUGAAUCAUGCAUCACGAAUGCCAUGUGAUAUAAUAGGUUGUUGCAUUAGAAUCCACGAAUAUGUUGCACUGCAUUCUUUGUUGUGGAUGUGGGUGAAUGCUGUAUGAUCCAAUUAAUCCCUGAGGAAAGACCAGGACCCCAUUCUACGGCCUGACACGGUAUGGAACGCGAAGACCAGGUGCCCAG